GUGCCAGCCGCCGCGGUAAUACGUAUGGGGCAAGCGUUAUCCGGAUUUAUUGGGCGUAAAGCGCGCGUAGGCGGAUCGUUAAGUCAGGUGUGAAAUCCGGGGGCUCAACCCGCGGCCUGCAUCUGAAACUGGCGGUCUUGAGUCUGGUAGAGGAAAGUGGAAUUCCUAGUGUAGCGGUGAAAUGCGCAGAUAUUAGGAGGAACACCAGUGGCGAAGGCGGCUUUCUGGGCCACGACUGACGCUGAGGCGCGAAAGCUAGGGGAGCAAACAGGAUUAGAUACCCUGGUAGUCCACGCCCUAA
RNAcentral lists this ribosomal RNA (301 nucleotides) under uncultured bacterium. Its description in RNAcentral is "bacterial SSU rRNA". It matches the Rfam family "Bacterial small subunit ribosomal RNA", at positions 505 to 805 of the family's 1533-position model. The record is from RNAcentral.